RNAcentral lists this long non-coding RNA (1304 nucleotides) under Piliocolobus tephrosceles (Ugandan red Colobus). RNAcentral's name for it is "lncRNA (ENSPTEG00000038635.1)". Lineage: Eukaryota; Metazoa; Chordata; Mammalia; Primates; Cercopithecidae. The record is from RNAcentral.
GAAGGGGGAGUUGUCUUUCAAUUUCGGAUUCACCAGGAUUCAUCUCUCAUCACAUUUUUCUUCUCAAAUUUUUAAAUCGAAAAGAUAAAAGCCAAAAGGACUUUCAUCCCCAGAACUUUUUCUUGGGGGAAAGGAAUGCAACUCGGGGUGGUUGUCCUUCACUUCCCUACCCGAAUCUUCUCCUAAUGCCGAAAUGUGUUUACAGGUAGCCUCAGUUUACCAAGUAUGUAUCUUUUGGGGUGUUUACGUCUCACAAAGCCUUCAACUCAUAAACCGCGAUCCUUGAAAACCAUCCUCCAAAGAAGUGCUUAGGAGGCUUCUGAGGCCCCCGGACCAACUCCCGCUGGAAAAAGCCUGCAGGGACCCGGGAAUCACGGGAUCCUUUCCCGUCGGUUCCGGGCCGGGAGGGCCAGGAAGAGCCGCGCGUCCGCCUUUCGUCCCGCCAGGAACUCCCCAUAGGACACGACACCGCAGGAACGCGCGUCCUGGGAGCCCCUGGGAUCCUGGCGGUCGUCUCUACGGACGCUACACCAUGAAACGAUAGAGGGGAGGCUCCUUGGGUUCCGCAAGUCGACGAAAAUAGCUCGUGGAGAAGGCGCCUCCUGCAACUGCAGUUCGCAAGCUCUCGGGGCGCCCCGCCAGCUGGGGGCCAGAUUGAGUGACACUCCCCUCGACGCAGCCUCCGGAGCGGCGCGCACUCUCCAGAGGCCAGCAAGACUGCGCUCUCUACCGCAGAACCAGCUCCAGCUAGGUGUUCUCUCCCCAUCUCGCCGUCGCUCUGCCCCCUCACUCUCUCCGGACCUCAGAGACGGUCUCUCCUUCCUCCUCCCGCCCUUUCCGUCUGGGGAUCGCAACCUCCAGCCCGUGGGCAACGCGUUCAGCCCAAGACUCCACAGUUUUUCCCAACGACCCCCUACCGAGGGCUUCUCUUGCUUCUGCUCUCCUGCCCCGCACUUCCCAAAGUGUGCGGGAACAGUGUGACCUAAACAAGAACAUACUAUAACUGUAGGAUGAGUGACACUUGGAAGCAGAGGCAGAGUGCUACAUGGACACCUGACUGUACCAAAUGGUUAUUGUGGUUUCCCAAUCAGGUGCCAAUUGCGGAAUACCAGCUAAUAUUCUACCCUGAAUUCAUGCUAAAAGCUUUCCAGUCUUUCUCAAGGAAACCUGUCCAAAGGGAUAUGUGAUUCAAGGAAUUGUUACUGUAUAAGUAAAACUUGGAUGUUUUUACUAAUAAUCCACAUAUUUCACAGCCCUUUGGUGGAGAGCCUUUUUCAUUAAUGUUCUGUUCAAGAAUAAUUGCA